AGUGAACGCUGGCGGUAGGCCUAACACAUGCAAGUCGAACGGCAGCACAGUAAGAGCUUGCUCUUACGGGUGGCGAGUGGCGGACGGGUGAGGAAUACAUCGGAAUCUACUUUUUCGUGGGGGAUAACGUAGGGAAACUUACGCUAAUACCGCAUACGACCUACGGGUGAAAGCAGGGGAUCUUCGGACCUUGCGCGAUUGAAUGAGCCGAUGUCGGAUUAGCUAGUUGGCGGGGUAAAGGCCCACCAAGGCGACGACCCGUAGCUGGUCUGAGGAUGAUCAGCCACACUGGAACUGAGACACGGUCCAGACUCCUACGGGAGGCAGCAGUGGGGAAUAUUGGACAAUGGGCGCAAGCCUGAUCCAGCCAUACCGCGUGGGUGAAGAAGGCCUUCGGGUUGUAAAGCCCUUUUGUUGGGAAAGAAAAGCAGCAGGUUAAUACCCCGCUGUUCUGACGGUACCCAAAGAAUAAGCACCGGCUAACUUCGUG
This 490-nucleotide ribosomal RNA is filed under the name uncultured bacterium. RNAcentral's name for it is "partial 16S ribosomal RNA". It matches the Rfam family "Bacterial small subunit ribosomal RNA", at positions 29 to 507 of the family's 1533-position model. The record is from RNAcentral.